GUGCUGAAGCAACAAAUGCCCUGCUUCCAGGAAAAGCCUCUAAGCAUCAGGUAACACGAAAUCGUACCCCAAACCGACACAGGUGGUCAGGUAGAGAAUACCAAGGCGCUUGAGAGAACUCGGGUGAAGGAACUAGGCAAAAUGGUGCCGUAACUUCGGGAGAAGGCACGCUGACACGUAGGUGAAGUGAUUUACUCAUGGAGCUGAAGUCAGUCGAAGAUACCAGCUGGCUGCAACUGUUUAUUAAAAACACAGCACUGUGCAAACACGAAAGUGGACGUAUACGGUGUGACGCCUGCCCGGUGCCGGAAGGUUAAUUGAUGGGGUCAGCGUAAGCGAAGCUCCUGAUCGAAGCCCCGGUAAACGGCGGCCGUAACUAUAACGGUCCUAAGGUAGCGAAAUUCCUUGUCGGGUAAGUUCCGACCUGCACGAAUGGCGUAAUGAUGGCCAGGCUGUCUCCACCCGAGACUCAGUGAAAUUGAACUCGCUGUGAAGAUGCAGUGUACCCGCGGCAAGACGGAAAGACCCCGUGAACCUUUACUAUAGCUUGACACUGAACAUUGAGCCUUGAUGUGUAGGAUAGGUGGGAGGCUUUGAAGUGUGGACGCCAGUCUGCAUGGAGCCGACCUUGAAAUACCACCCUUUAAUGUUUGAUGUUCUAACGUGGACCCGUAAUCCGGGUUGCGGACAGUGUCUGGUGGGUAGUUUGACUGGGGCGGUCUCCUCCUAAAGAGUAACGGAGGAGCACGAAGGUUGGCUAAUCCUGGUCGGACAUCAGGAGGUUAGUGCAAUGGCAUAAGCCAGCUUGACUGCGAGCGUGACGGCGCGAGCAGGUGCGAAAGCAGGUCAUAGUGAUCCGGUGGUUCUGAAUGGAAGGGCCAUCGCUCAACGGAUAAAAGGUACUCCGGGGAUAACAGGCUGAUACCGCCCAAGAGUUCAUAUCGACGGCGGUGUUUGGCACCUCGAUGUCGGCUCAUCACAUCCUGGGGCUGAAGUAGGUCCCAAGGGUAUGGCUGUUCGCCAUUUAAAGUGGUACGCGAGCUGGGUUUAGAACGUCGUGAGACAGUUCGGUCCCUAUCUGCCGUGGGCGCUGGAGAACUGAGGGGGGCUGCUCCUAGUACGAGAGGACCGGAGUGGACGCAUCACUGGUGUUCGGGUUGUCAUGCCAAUGGCACUGCCCGGUAGCUAAAUGCGGAAGAGAUAAGUGCUGAAAGCAUCUAAGCACGAAACUUGCCCCGA
This 1239-nucleotide ribosomal RNA is filed under the name Salmonella enterica. Its description in RNAcentral is "partial 23S ribosomal RNA". It matches the Rfam family "Bacterial large subunit ribosomal RNA", at positions 1582 to 2802 of the family's 2925-position model. RNAcentral also lists the same sequence under 2 other names. Lineage: Bacteria; Pseudomonadati; Pseudomonadota; Gammaproteobacteria; Enterobacterales; Enterobacteriaceae. The record is from RNAcentral.